CACGGAUGAAGUAAGGGCAAUGAACGCGAUAUUCUCUAAAGAACAUUUGGGUCAAGAUGGCUGUCUUUACUUUCCCGUUUAUGUAGCCAAGAAUGAACAGAGAAAAAUCUUUACCAAAUUUAGCAAUUAUUAUUAUUAUUAUUAUUAUUAUUAUUAUUAUUAUUAUUAUUUUGAGACAGUCUCACUCUGUCGUCCAAGCUGGAGUGCUGUGGCGUGAUCUCGGCUCACUGCAAGCUCCGCCUCCCAGAUUCACGCCAUUCUCCUGCCUCAGCCUCCCGAGUAGCUGGGACUACGGGCACCUGCCACCACGCCCGGCUAAUUUUUUUUUGUAUUUUUAGUGGAGACUGGGUUUCACCGUGUUAGCCAGGAUGGUCUCGAACUCCUGACCUCAUGAUCCACCCGCCUCGGCCUCCCAAAGUGCUGGGAUUACAGGCAUGAGCCACCGCGCCUGGCCCAAACUUAGAAGUUAUUGAGGGUUGCCAUCAAUAUGGCGGAAAUUGUAAGGCACGUUUACAACACGAAGCGAAGAGAAGGGAUUCGCUAAUGGGCUUCACUGCUUGAAGGAAAUGCCUGGCUGAGGCAUAAGUUGAAGGUCCUCGGGAAGAACUCCAUGUUAUCUGGAAACGACUCCUGAGCUUGGACAGAUUUGUCCCAGGGAAAGAAGAGCCUUGAUCGUACCUUUGGCAAAAGCUCAAAGUGCAAGAGAUCAUCCCGGGUAGAGAAGCCAGGUGUGGCACUCAUUCUUGACCUACACCUGGCAGGGAUGGAACCAGUAUUGCAGGAGGUGCUGGUCCAGCUGACUUCUCACUCUACAGCAAACCCAGGAGUGUAACCUGCAGCAGAAGGCAGUGCCCCCACUUGCUGUUUUCUACUGCUUACUGAAAAGCAGAUCUCAAUUUCAGCAAAGCACUACCAGAUUUUUCAUCCUUCUUUUUCCUGGAUCUGAGAGAUGUAAAAGUAUUAUAGUUAGAGUGAUUCAGACGGAACCCAUUUUAAACACACUCUGUAAGGUUUUUCGUGGGAGAUGCGCCAUUAUGUUUGAAAAUACAAGAGGUGUUUAUGGAGAAAGAUGGAAGCUGCUUAUGAGACACAAGACAGGCCCUGUGGAAGUUUAGUCAUGAAGAAGAUAAAGAAGAUUUUCUGGAGGGAUCCUCUAGAAACAAACAACAAAACCCACAAAUUAUAAUGCAUCUGCACUUAGACUGCUAGGAACUUUGACUCGAUGGAGUGAAAGCUUAAGGCUUUGUUCUUUACCUGUGCUGCUUUCAAAAAAUGUGGACAGUGGGUCCAUUUUUGCAAGCAGAAGUUGUUUAACCAUGAGAUGAAUGUCCCAUGAUUUCAAAUGAUAUAUAAUAAACACUUUUCUUUUGUGUUUCCAAUCUA
This 1383-nucleotide long non-coding RNA is filed under the name Homo sapiens (human). RNAcentral's name for it is "HSALNT0388550". The record is from RNAcentral. Lineage: Eukaryota; Metazoa; Chordata; Mammalia; Primates; Hominidae.